Molecule: ribosomal RNA, 433 nt
Filed under: uncultured bacterium
Lineage: Bacteria
Description: partial 16S ribosomal RNA
Rfam family: Bacterial small subunit ribosomal RNA
Source: RNAcentral
AACGAACGCUGGCGGCAUGCCUAACACAUGCAAGUCGAACGAGACCUUCGGGUCUAGUGGCGCACGGGUGCGUAACGCGUGGGAAUCUGCCCUUGGGUUCGGAAUCACAGUGAGAAAUUACUGCUAAUACCGUAUGAUGUCUUCGGACCAAAGAUUUAUCGCCCAUGGAUGAGCCCGCGUAGGAUUAGCUAGUUGGUGGGGUAAUGGCCUACCAAGGCGACGAUCCUUAGCUGGUCUGAGAGGAUGAUCAGCCACACUGGGACUGAGACACGGCCCAGACUCGAACGGGAGGCAGCAGUGGGGAAUAUUGGACAAUGGGCGCAAGCCUGAUCCAGCAAUGCCGCGUGAGUGAUGAAGGCCUUAGGGGUGUAAAGCUCUUUUAACCGGGAUGAUAAUGACAGUACCGGAAGAAUAAGCACCGGCUAACUCCGUG